RNAcentral lists this non-coding RNA (28 nucleotides) under Mus musculus (house mouse). Lineage: Eukaryota; Metazoa; Chordata; Mammalia; Rodentia; Muridae. The record is from RNAcentral.
UGGCCUAGGUGUCUUAAGUGUGGCCUGU